RNAcentral lists this ribosomal RNA (341 nucleotides) under uncultured Nitrospirota bacterium. RNAcentral describes it as "bacterial SSU rRNA". It matches the Rfam family "Bacterial small subunit ribosomal RNA", at positions 29 to 351 of the family's 1533-position model. Lineage: Bacteria; Pseudomonadati; Nitrospirota. The record is from RNAcentral.
AACGAACGCUGGCGGCGUGCCUAACACAUGCAAGUCGAGCGAGAAAGUCCCCGCAAGGGGAUGAGUAAAGCGGCGAACGGGUGAGUAACACGUGGGCAACCUGCCCUUCAGUCGGGAAUAACCCAUCGAAAGGUGGGCUAAUACCGGAUAAUGUCCUUUGGGGGGCAUCUUCGGAGGACCAAAGGGGGCGAGCGAAAGCGGCUCCCGCUGAGGGAUGGGCCUGCGGCUGAUUAGCUAGUUGGUGGGGUAGCGGCCUACCAAGGCAACGAUCAGUAGCCGACCUGAGAGGGUGACCGGCCACACUGGGACUGAGACACGGCCCAGACUCCUACGGGUGGCUG